RNAcentral lists this ribosomal RNA (116 nucleotides) under Citrobacter freundii. Lineage: Bacteria; Pseudomonadati; Pseudomonadota; Gammaproteobacteria; Enterobacterales; Enterobacteriaceae. The record is from RNAcentral. RNAcentral also lists the same sequence under 5 other names.
CCUGGCGGCUGUAGCGCGGUGGUCCCACCUGACCCCAUGCCGAACUCAGAAGUGAAACGCCGUAGCGCCAAUGGUAGUGUGGGGUCUCCCCAUGCGAGAGUAGGGAACUGCCAGGC